RNAcentral lists this ribosomal RNA (253 nucleotides) under uncultured bacterium. RNAcentral's name for it is "partial 16S ribosomal RNA". It matches the Rfam family "Bacterial small subunit ribosomal RNA", at positions 524 to 776 of the family's 1533-position model. The record is from RNAcentral.
UACAGAGGUCUCAACCGUUGUUCGGAUUCAUUGGGCGUAAAGGGUGCGUAGGCGGUCGUGCAAGUCGGAUGUGAAAUCUCAGGGCUCAACCCUGAAACUGCAUUCGAUACUGCGCGGCUAGAGUGCUGGAGGGGAGACUGGAAUUUACGGUGUAGCAGUGAAAUGCGUAGAUAUCGUAAGGAAGACCAGUGGCGAAGGCGAGUUGCUGGGCUGACACUGACGCUGAGGCGCGAAAGCUAGGGGAGCGAACGGG